RNAcentral lists this ribosomal RNA (460 nucleotides) under uncultured bacterium. RNAcentral's name for it is "partial 16S ribosomal RNA". It matches the Rfam family "Bacterial small subunit ribosomal RNA", at positions 338 to 795 of the family's 1533-position model. The record is from RNAcentral.
CCUACGGGUGGCUGCAGUGAGGAAUCUUGGUCAAUGGGCGAGAGCCUGAACCAGCCAAGUCGCGUGAGGGAAGACGGCCCUACGGGUUGUAAACCUCUUUUGCCGGUGAGCAACGUGCGCCACGUGUGGCGCCACUGAGAGUACCCGGAGAAAAAGCAUCGGCUAACUCCGUGCCAGCAGCCGCGGUAAUACGGAGGAUGCGCGCGUUAUCCGGAUUUAUUGGGGUUAAAUGGGGCGUAGGCGGAGCGUUAAGUCAGUGGUCAAAUUGAGGGGCUCAACCCCUUCCCGCCAUUGAAACUGGCGCUCUUGAGUGGAAGAGAGGUAUGCGGAAUGCGUGGUGUAGCGCUGAAAUGCAUAGAUAUCACGCAGAACCCCGAUUGCGAAGGCAGCAUGCCGGCUUCCGACUGACGCUGAAGCACGAAAGCGUGGGGAUCGAACAGGAUUAGAUACCCUUGUAGUC